Pongo abelii (Sumatran orangutan) is the source of this 148-nucleotide unclassified non-coding RNA. It matches the Rfam family "Metazoan signal recognition particle RNA". Rfam says of the family: The signal recognition particle (SRP) is a universally conserved ribonucleoprotein. It is involved in the co-translational targeting of proteins to membranes. NCBI's taxonomy places the organism in Eukaryota, Metazoa, Chordata, Mammalia, Primates, Hominidae. The record is from Ensembl.
GCCGGGCGUGGUGGUGCACGCCUGUAGUCCCAGCUACUCAGGAGGCUGAGGCAGGAGAAUCGCUUGAAUCCAGGAGGUGGAGGUUGCAGUGAGCUGAGAUCACGCCACUGCACUCCAGCCUGGGCGACAGAGUGAGACUCCGUCUCAA